AUACGGAGGGUGCAAGCGUUAUCCGGAUUUAUUGGGUUUAAAGGGUGCGUAGGCGGUUUGAUAAGUCAGCGGUGAAAUAUUUCAGCUUAACUGGAAGGGUGCCGUUGAUACUGUCGAGCUUGAAUUUAGUUGCUGUGGGUGGAAUGUGUGGUGUAGCGGUGAAAUGCAUAGAUAUCACACAGAAUAUCGAUUGCGAAGGCAGCUCACAAAGCUAAUAUUGACGCUGAUGCACGAAAGUGUGGGGAUCAAACAGGAUUAGAUACCCUGGUAGUCCGCACUGUAAACGAUGAUAACUCGCUGUCGGCGAUACAUAGUCGGUGGCCAAGCGAAAGCGAUAAGUUAUCCACCUGGGGAGUACGACCGCAAGGUUGAAACUCAAAUGAAUUGACGGGG
This 393-nucleotide ribosomal RNA is filed under the name uncultured bacterium. RNAcentral describes it as "partial 16S ribosomal RNA". It matches the Rfam family "Bacterial small subunit ribosomal RNA", at positions 523 to 918 of the family's 1533-position model. The record is from RNAcentral.